This 257-nucleotide ribosomal RNA is filed under the name uncultured bacterium. RNAcentral describes it as "partial 16S ribosomal RNA". It matches the Rfam family "Bacterial small subunit ribosomal RNA", at positions 524 to 777 of the family's 1533-position model. The record is from RNAcentral.
GACAGAGGUGCCGAGCGUUAGGCGGAAUCACUGGGCUUAAAGCGUGUGUAGGCGGGCGGGCAAGUACCUUGUGAAAUCCCACGGCUCAACCGUGGAACUGCUGGGUAUACUGCCUGUCUUGAGCCAGCCAGGGGCAGUCGGAACAGACGGUGGGAGCGGUGGAAAUGCGUAGAUAUCGUCUGGAACGCCAAAGGUGAAAACAGACUGCUGGGGCUGUGCUGACGCUGGAGGCACGAAAGCCAGGGGAGCGAACGGGG